Eleginops maclovinus (Patagonian blennie) is the source of this 607-nucleotide long non-coding RNA. RefSeq lists it as uncharacterized. The transcript is spliced from 3 exons. Lineage: Eukaryota; Metazoa; Chordata; Actinopteri; Perciformes; Eleginopidae. The record is from RefSeq and is a predicted model, not a curated record.
CGUGAUCGGAGGUGAACACAUACGCUGUUCUAGCAUCAUGAUCAAAGAAGUCUUCCACCACAGACACCAGCUCAGCCACACCAGUGUCUACUAGACCAAUAUUGUCAAGACUGGCCCUCAGACUGGAGUUAGACUUCGCUGACUGGAAGAAUGACUGGUGAAGGGGAAAAGAAACAUGGUUGGAUUUGUUAAAGAUGGCAUGUGAAAACCAUCACUGAUAAUACAAAGGGAAUCUGGCCCUAACAUUAACCACUACUUUCACAUGAAGUUUGUAGCAGCCAUUAUAUAAUUUAUUGAAUUGACUGAAUCUCACAUCUCAAAGGAAUGUUUUUCCUUGCUGACGAUAAAUAUAACAGGGGAAAAUAUAGAUUUUACACUAAAAAAGAAGCCAUCCAAAAAUAUAGAUUCAUCUCAACAUGCAUCAAUAUUCUCAGGAACUCCAAUACCAUACUUUGACUUGAGUGAACACCCAGCUGUCCAGCCUGGAGGCGUCUGUGGAGGCGAAGUCUUCCUCCGCUGCUGGCAAACAUCGGCAGAAUGUCAGGGCUGCCCCAGCACCAGGUGUGUCUGCUUUCAUUGAACACAGAGUCAAACUCUACAGGAUUCU